UUUUUUUUUUUUUUUUUUUUUUUUUUUUGCUUUUUAGGGCCACACCCGUGGCAUGUGGAGGUUCCCUGGAUAGGGGUUGAGUCGGAGCUACAGCUGCCAGCCUAUGUUUGCGACGUAUACCACAGCUCACGGCAAUGCCAGAUCCUUAACCCACUGAGCGAGGCCAGGGAUCAAACCCGCAACCUCAUGGUUCCUAGUUGGAUUCGUUUCCGCUGCACCAUGACGAGAACUCCCCGUUUUAGUUUCUUAAGGCAGAAUCACCAAACGGUUAAGAGCCUGUGCUUUAGAAUUAGGUCUAGUUCAAAUCUCCCUCAAGCUUCAGGAAUCUCUCUUUGCACGGUUAUAGUUAGGAAUAGGAGAAGGUAUUUAAAGUACCUGGCACAUAGAGGGGAAUCGAAAAAUGUGGUUUAAAGAAGAUCACAGGAUCUGGUAAAUAACACUCCCAAGUUCAGUGGUUGAGGUUCAGAGCCUUUCUGCUCUCCGGGUUGUCGGGAGACGUUGCCUUGGUGGCCUUCCUCUCUGGCUUGAGAUUCAGUAUUAACCUCUAUCCUACAAGGUCUUCUGUUACCCCAGUUCCAAGACUGCUGCUGGCCAAGUGCGGAAGAAGCGUCUUAAAGACCAGCAUGGUCCCCAGGCUCGCUGCUUCAGCAUCACCUGGGAACCCGUUAGAAAUGCACAAGCCCCCCCAAAAGGGGGCCAUUCAGAAGGUGGCCUUAUCUAAACUCACUCAGCCGGAAGAUGGCUUUGUUUUAUUUUCUGUGUUGGGGUAAACAUCUCCUUUAAACUCUGGGCUGUCCCAGGCCCAGAUGUCAUACGUAUGCCAUUUUAUAUACCCUUGUGCAGGUGCCUUGGUGCCCAACAGUAAACUCGAGAAACACUCACUUUGGGCAAAGCUUCUUACCUUUAGCAUUCUCUUAAAAUAUAUAUAACAACUCAUCAGUACCUUCUUGUAAAUUAAUUUAUCACAUUUUUCUUUAACUUGAGGGGUCCAGGGCUGGCAAAGGCCUGAGACAUGGGUCUGCUUGAGCCCAGCCUGGCAAAGUGGCUCAGGGCUGAGGGGAGCCUGGGGCUGGACUGAAGCUCCUUGGAAGGGUCUCAGGGAGCAUAGAGUUGAAGAGAGGUUGUGGGGAGAGGAGGGAGUGGUAAGAGACUCUGGCUGAUGCUGAGCCCUGCGGGCGGGUUGGGAAAACCCGUCAGAGGCUAGGAAAGCAGUCAGGCCCGGGAGCAGGUUUGGGACGUGGUGGGGUCAGGGAAUAAAGGGCCCUAUUGUGCCAGGGAAGCUCGCAGGGGCCCGAGAUGGGCUGGAGUCAGCAGAGGGGGUGUGUGUGUGGUGCUGGGUGAAAGACCCCGAAUGACCUCAUGGUGCGAAGGGGUCAGAGAGCAGCUGCCUGGCUGAUGGCCCCACCCGUCCUUGGCCACUGGUCAGGCCUCCUGGGUGUGGCGGGAAGUGCCCAGCCAGAGAACUGUGGUGGUCUCCUGUGCUAUCCAAGCCUUUUCACCCUGAGGGCAGCUUGGGGAGGGGGGGCAGAGGGCAGUAUCAACAAAGGGAAGGGACUCUGACACAGCCCGGGUGUGGGCAAGGUGAAAGCAUCUUGCUGAUUUUAUAUGUGAGGAAACCGUAGCCCAGAUAGACUUGGUAACUGAUGGAGCAGCAUCGAGGGGGAGGGACCAUAGGCUUGAAGAUCUUGUGAGCUGCAUUCCCUGAGUGCCAUCCUGGGGCAGAGACAGCUGGAGCUGAGGGCUACCCUCGGCCCCCAGCUGGAGGCGUAUCAUAGUUUGCUCUCAUCUUGGGCUGUCCUCCCACAGUCUCCCUUCACUGAGUCCCCUUCCCUCAGGGAUAACCCUUAGAAAUCUACUUAGAGACUGCUGGCCUGGGCUAGAACCAAAGUUCAGUGGGAAGAUGAGGCAUGGUUUCACGUAACAUUACUGCCUUAGGUUCCCUAAGCCAUCUCAUCUUGUGAUUGUCCUUAAAAGAUGAGGAUGUGAAAAUUCCUCCUCCAUCGCACCCCUGGGCAGCUCUGUAAUAGCUGCUUUUAGGUCCUCAGUGACAAGUGAGAAUCAGACCCUCUGCCUUGACUUCCGCAUGGUUACUGUACGGCUUGAAGAGGGUGAGAGAUGUGAAGAUGGUCUCAGGAAUUGAAAAAGUCAGAAGCAGGGGGUGUUGCUAGAUGCCUCCUCUGAAUCACAGCGCCCUUGGAGAGAUGUCUGCAGGACAUAGAAGGCCCUCCAGUGCGGGCGGCCCUGGCCUGUAUCUGGAAGGAAGCCUGUCCUAGAGUCAGCCCCAGACCUGAGUCCUGUGCCCUGGGAGAAGGGCCUGCCACUGGGAAGCAUGAAAAGGAAGGCCUUUCUCUACAAAUUAAUUUUAGGAGCCAUUGCUUCUUUACACCCGCAGACUCUCGACCCUGCCACAACCUUAAUGCGAAGCCUGCUUCUCAGCCCAGGGACAAACUGCACCCAGUUCUGGUAGCACAAGACGACAGGAGAGCUCCGAGUGAAGUCUAUACUGUGUGACCUUGGCCUAGGCCCUCACACUCUGAGCUACAGUUGUCAGAGCACUAAACUUCAUGUACCCACUCAAAACAUCUCUUCAGAGCCUUCUGUUUAUAAUAUGCUGGGCUAAGCUCUGGGAGGUGAAAAGGAACAGCAGACUUGGCUCCUGCUCGAAGAAGAUGAGCAUUUAGAAGCUGCAUGUAAGGAGUGUAAGCUUGGAGCUGAUGCAUUCCGUGCGCGAGUGAGAUGGGGUCCCUGGGGGUUUGGAAGAGGGCACUGAGCUGGGCUUUGCACGAUGGGCAGAAUGAAGUGAAUAGAGUGAGGAAGGGCAGUGUUUGCCCAAAAAGUCCUUCUCACUUUCUCUACUCCUGCCACGCAGUGUUUGUCACACCUAGUUCUCUCCACAGUCUCUCACGCCUCCAGGCCUUGGCCAUCUGAUUGGCUUUGAAAACUCAGCUCAAGCUUACUUGGCAGCCUUCCUUCCUCUGGGCUCUCGCAGCACCUUGAACGCAGCUCCCUCACUUCCCCGCCUUCUCACGCGCUCGUGCGCUCCCUUGGCACCACGAGAGGCUGGCCUGCUGGAGCGCAGCGCCUGGAAGGGGAAGCAGGGCUGGACAGGUGGGGGUGAGGGACCUUCGAUGUGAGACCGAGGAGGAGGAGGAGGUCGGGGCAGUGUGUUAGACGCAGGUCGUUGGUCAGGGCUGAGCUGGGAUGGUUGGGGAGCCUGUGGUAGCUGGUUCCAUGUCUUCAACAGCGAUGUUUUUCAGCUGUGUUACCAUCUCAACCCAACACGUGCUUCACAGACUAGAACUAGGCUGACGUGCAAUGCACUCUGAUAUUUACCAUUUUACUUCAUUUUUAAAAUGCUGGUCACCACCCACGGGUGCCCCAGCCUGCUUCUUGCUCCUUCCCUGGGGACUAGGGUGGGGGGGGCAGCUGCAUGUAGCCACAUGCAUCAGGGACUCAGCGUGGAAAGGAUGGGUCAGGGGAGGUAGCCACUUCCCUACCUGUUCUGCUGCAGACCAGGAUCCACGGGAGCCUCACAAGGUGGUGGGCAGUAACUGAGACCAGAGAAAACCUCAGCCUGCCUGUCCUUCCUGAAUUGGCAAGAGGAGGUCAGGGCCUCCCUCCCUCUUGAAGCUUCAGAUGACCUCUUGAAGAGGGAUGCAGAAGCUACCGGCCCACCCAGAGCUGUGGACCAGAGUAGGCCUUGACUCCUGGUUCACCCCGUCCUCAGAGGACCUGCAGCUCUAGGUUGGUUGGGACAGGGCCCUAGGUUGGGUAGAGCAGACAGGGUCACAUGACAUCCACCCGCCUCUGCCUGCCGGCACCAGCUGGGUGAGGCAGGAGAAGGUUCUGGGAACUGCAUCCCACCCCCUUGGAACCAGUUCUUUAGCUCAGCUCUAUUGCCCCCCUUGCUUGUAGCGCUGCCUCAGGCCAACCUCUGCCCCCUCUUUCUGACCUGCUCCUGAGUGGAGGCAGGAGCCAGCCAGCAUCCUGAGGCAUUGGUUUGCAAGCCCCCUGCUCUGAGCUUACUCCCAGGUCUUGCUGAUAACUGGGUGUUGCAGAGGUGACUCGGUGACUCGUCCAACUGGGAGGCCAUUUCCAGACCUAGAGGCAUGGAGCAGGUCUGCACAUCCUGCUUCCUGGGAGUCUCGUGAGGUAGUUCUGAUUCCCUGGGGAGGAAGAAGCUGGGCUUGGAGUCUCUUCAAAGGAAGUCUUCUGAUCCAGGCCUCAGGCUGAAAGUAAGUGGAUACAAACUCAGCCGCCCUUCUGGGAGUGAGAGACCCUUCUAGGUCCUCCAUCAACAGGGAGUAAGGGAAGAACCCAGCGGAAGGGGGCAGGAUUGUGUCUGGGAUAUAUUUGUGGCCAUGAUGGGGUAGACCAGCCAGUAGAAGACAGCCAGCCAUGAAAUGCCCCAGGAAUUUAAUGUGGAUGUGGGGGAAAUAGUUUUCAUAGGUCAACUGCCCCAAUAUCACACAGCCUGGAAGAUGUGGAGUCGAGGCUUGUGCCUUGGGUCUGUCUGAACCCCAAGCCUGCUGCCUUCUUUCCAUCAGUCCUCAGUGCUGCAGAUGAGGGGGUAGCCACAGGGACUCAAGAGAGCGGAUGGUCUGAGUGGAGAGCUGAGGGUUGGCGAUGCAGGAGCCCAGGGAGAAGGUAGAGGGGAUGGGACCCACCCAGGCCAGCACCGUGCCAGGCCAGACUUUCCUCCUGGCUUGGGAAGGUGCAGGGCGGGCAAGAUCUUAGCUGCCCUGGGGGCUCACACCUCCCUGUCUAGUUGCCUCAGGACUGACCAUGUCUUUCCUUUAGGUCCUCCUAUCCUAUCUGGCCAUCCAGUUGCAUUCUUCCUGCCUUGUGUUCGUCUUUCCUAAGCUUUUGUUCUAGGCCGGGAGUGUGCACGGGCUCUGCUCUCCUGGGCACCCCCUGGCUGAGAAGCUGCUGAGCCCCAGCACCUGGGAAGAGGAGACUAAUGCAAGAGGAACCCUAAGCACACCUGUGACCACGUUCUGCUGACAGCUGAUGCUGCACAGGAUCUUUAAAAGGUGGGGACUGGGCCGGACUCUCCACAGGGAGAACGGCCCAGAUGCGACCGGCUGUCUGCCCUGCGCGCUCAAGAGCUAAGACAGAUGGUGGCUGAGGACAUGGACCCGGACAAUCAGCAGAAUCCAGUGUGUAAGCCUGGCGCACUACAGCAGGAAUUCUCACCCUCGGCAGAAACCAGAACAGGGCCUCAGAGACUUGCGCAAACAUCUGUCCCUGCUGGCGCAGCACUUGCUCCUUAGCUCUUUUGGGGCAGUCUUCUCUGCCUGGAAGAUGGCAAAAUUGUGUUACCUUCCCCACUAAACAAAACUCUUCUAGGACUGUGACUCGGCUCAGCUUUGUUCCCCCAGCAGCUAGCCCAGGGCUAGCCACCAGUGGUUGUUGAUGUGUAAACGAAGAAAUGGAAGCAACUCCUGUGCACUGAGCACUCGGGGGGGGGGGGGGGGGGGGGGGGNGCUGGGCAAGUGAUGGACAUUCUGGACCCACGAGAUGCACAGGUGAUUUCAGGUAGUCAGCUUCUGCCCUGCUGGUGGGAGGGAGGCCUGAACUUACCUGGACUGGUAGAGAAGGGAACCCCAACUCUGUUCUAGAACCUGGAGGGCUCCUUGGGAGCCCUGCCUGAGUUCCCUGUCAGAGGCAGGGGGACUGCCUGAUGAGAACUAUGGCCAGCACAUCCAGAGAUCAGCAAGCAGGGAGGAGCAUGUAAGAUGACUUCGAGGAGAGAAGGUUUAGCCACUCAGGGAAAAAGAGAAGGCGCCUUAGCUCCGGAACCUCCUUGGAAGUAAUGCGAGGAAGGGAAGCCAAGAGGAUGGUCUCUGCAGCAGCCCCAACAUGGCCAGUAGCCUCCGAGCCACUGGGAUCCCAGGACAUGGAGAAGAUGUGCAUCAAAGGGCACUGAAGCAGCAGUCACCAAAAGGGACUUAGCUCUGUCAGAGCUGCCUAAGCUGGCUAUGGAGGGCCAGGGGUUUUGCUGGCCCGAUUACUAAUAACCAUUUUUUAGGGUGUGGAUAGUGGAGUCCCACAGUCUCUAGAUUGAUUUGCCAAGAAUCUCAGCACAGCAGAGAAGGAAAAAGCUAAGUGAGCAUCUGUGGCCCCCAUACCCCCAUUGCAGCCAUGAGGAAAGAUUCUGCAAGGCAAGGGUAGUAAAAAAAAAAAAAAAAAAAAAAAA
Molecule: long non-coding RNA, 6199 nt
Filed under: Sus scrofa (pig)
Lineage: Eukaryota; Metazoa; Chordata; Mammalia; Artiodactyla; Suidae
Description: lncRNA (ENSSSCG00045037986.1)
Source: RNAcentral